GGGGGUCUUUAUUUUACAGUGUCAAAGCAAUUUGACUAAAAUCAACAGGAAAUGCAAGUUUUAGUAGGUUUUAGUUUAUAUAUAUAUAUAUAUAUAUAUAUAUAUAUAUAUAUAUAUAUAUAUACAUUUAAGGCUACAAAAUUAACAUUAAGCAUUCAGGUAUAUAUUUUGCAUCAAGUUUGGAUUACUGUGCUUAUUUGCACUGCCAUAGUAUUAGCUUUUUUUUCUUUCUUUUUUUUUAACAGUUCAUCUACAGUUUUAUCAUUUAAACCUAACAAAUCUGUGUAUUUGUGUUAUUGAUCUUAAAAUAAAUGCAACUUUUAUGGUAUUCUAUUCAAUGCAGUGAUAUUAAUAUACGCUUCUAAUACUGUUUGAAGCCAGUGUUUCAUAAUAAUAGAUUAUUCCUUUAAACCAGUCGUAUGGACCGAGUCUUGAUUUUGUCUUGAGGAGUGCAGCUGUGGUCAGGCAGAGGUUAAUGGUUCCGCGCUCUGGCGGCUGGGCAGGCGCGGAGCUGCGGCGCUCUGACGCGGGGAUGGAGAGCUCAGAGAUGCGCUGCUGCUGCUGCUCCGACAGGAUCCCGCGGCCUGCUGCUUUCUCCGCUCUUCUGCGCCGAAGCUUUAAAUCACGGACAGACACGCAGGGUCAUCCCCCGAGGGUGUUGAUCUGGGUCAGAUCACUUAUCGCUGAUCUCUACAAGCCGCCUUUCCCAGCUUCGUUUCACUGCUGCCUGUAAGUGACUGCGACUGGGAGGGGGUUAAUUAGCAGGUUGGUGCUUUGGCAAUUGGCAGGCGUUCGUCUGUGUCUUGGAGACUUUAAACCGGCAUUAUGUAUAAAUAAAAUAGUUUUGCAUUUUCUAAAAAAUAUCUGG
This is a long non-coding RNA of Cyprinus carpio (common carp), 868 nucleotides long. NCBI's taxonomy places the organism in Eukaryota, Metazoa, Chordata, Actinopteri, Cypriniformes, Cyprinidae. The record is from Ensembl.